GCUCAAUAAUAUUUGCUGCACAUGUUAAAACUGAAGCAACAUGGAAAAGGUUAGCAUGGGUCCUGUGCAAGAAUGACGCAAAAAUGUGUGGAACAUUCCACGUUUUA
Molecule: small nuclear RNA, 107 nt
Organism: Psammomys obesus (fat sand rat)
Lineage: Eukaryota; Metazoa; Chordata; Mammalia; Rodentia; Muridae
Source: RefSeq, a predicted model, not a curated record